GUCCCCGCGUGCUCCGCCCCCGCUUCCGCUCUGCGGCCGCUGCCUCCUGGGGGAGGGUGGGUUUUCCCUGGGUCGGUGGGCGGGUUCGGCCUGUGGGGUUAGAAUCCGGACACGGCCACUAUUAGCUAUAAUUGAGGGCGUGAUCCUUCAGGGCCUGGUUUUUCGUCUCCUAAAUUCUGUGAGGAUGACCGGGGUACCGCCCUGGGGGGCGGGCGCUCCCAGGAGGCCAGCGCCCCAUAUUUAGGGGCAGCUUCGGAGCGGCGGUCAGACCACGGAAGUCGGGGCGGGGGGGGCGGGGCUUCCUAGGCCGAUGGUGGUCCAGCGGGGCGCCGUGUGAGCCCAGGCAGGGCGCCCGCGGGGCCGACGGCCGAGAGGAGGCCCCGGAGCUGUGCCCACCGGGCGGGGAGGCCUCCCGGACGUGGGGAGCGGAGCAGCGACGGGGGAGACACCAGGCAGGAGAAGAGAGCAAGGACCCUCAUUCCCAAGGGCACGACCGCUAGAGGUGCUGCUGCAGUGGCCGGAGCUACCGUGGUGUCCCGCCUGCUGUCUUUGCUCAGGUGGUUUGCUGUCACGUCUCCUUUCCCAUCACGUCGUCAACAACAAAGCUCAUUACCUGGGUAGUUGGCAUAUGCAGCUUAGUUCCCUGGACUUCGGUAGGGCUAUAGCAGUGUGUAGACGCAGCCUACGGCAGUAUCGAAUGAACGGUAGCUAAUUAUUACUAUGUAAGGAGAGAGGUAACUAAUAAAGAACGAUUAUAGCAGGCAGCGUAGCGGCCUCCCCAGCAUCUGCUCCUCUGACAGCAGGACCCGGCCUUGGCGACUCAGGGAUAGUGCCUGAUGUAAGAUGACACAACACUGGAGCAGAGAAUUUGAGGAACUUGUCCAAGGUUAUACACCCUGUCAGUGGCAGAGCUGGGAUUUGAAUACAAAAGUUUGGCUUCAAAGACAAAAGACUGCAAAAUAGAAAAAGAUAUAUGCAAUAUGGCAUUAUUUUUAGUGUCCUUUAUAUGUGUUUUUUGAGAGCAACAGCAAAAGCUGACAGAGUUGAUUCAGUCUUGUACUAUUUGGAGUAUGGUGAACUAUUACUCUUAUAAAUGGAGAACAACCAUAUCGAAUGUACCAGAUAACUUUCAGGGAAGAUUGAUGAUAAAAAUAUAUCCCAUUUUCAACAACAACAAAAAUGAAAAGUAUGCAGAAAAAUAAUAAAGUAUGACUUAUACACUUGAAAAAAAACAACCAAUGCCAACUGUCACUCUAAACCCAGAUGUUGGACUUACUAGACAAAGAUUUGAGAUCAGCUAUUUUAAAAAUGUUUGAAGAGCUAAAGGAAAUCAUUUCUAAAUAGAUAAAGGGAAAGGAAGAGGGAGAUUUGUUUACAGACAAGAAAGCAAUAUAUGCCCAUGGUGCAGAGAUAGGAGUGAUGUGGCUACAAGCUAAGGAGUGUCAGCACCUACAAGAGUUUGGAAGACACAAGGUACCAGGGUCAGGAAGCAUUUGAUUCAUCCUUUGGAAAUGGUAGUAGGAAACCAUGCAGUCUUUGGCAUUUCGAGCUACAUAAAGGAACUUUGGGUUAAGAAGAGAGGUCAGGAUCCUGUCAGCCAUGACAGAUGGAUGGCCAUGUGAGAAAAACCCACGAAGUCUCCAUGAAGAGAAAGAGCAGCAGAGGCAAAGCCACAUGACAUUGUCACCCAAGAGCUGUCCAUGACAGAGGACAGCAGGCUGGGUCCCCUAACCCUAUCAUGCUUGACCCUGGCUAAACCCAGGGACACUAAGCAUCCCAAGAUCACCUCAUCAUGGGCCAGUAAAAAGAAGCAGCUUUCCUUGAAUGAGUGCACUGUAUUGAGGGGGAUUUUAACUGAUGUGAGCAGCCCUUGCUGACUCCACAGGCUGAAGUCUGAUUGUCCCCCUGGUCCCACAAUCACCUGAUUUAGGGUAGGUACAGAUGAGGAGAUCAUCUGGCUUGGCCUCAAAGUUCUGGAUCUGGUUCCAGUUGUCCACAGUGCUAGCCUGCAGGGGGAUGCCUGCCACCUCUCUCAGUUGUAGCUGUGCCUCCAAUGCUGUGGCCAGGGCCAUACUGUCUUGCAAUGAGAGGGGAGGUCCCUGUGGGCAGAAGACAGAGGGCACUUUUAAAAUAAUUGUGGUAAAAUACACAUAACAUAAAUUUACCAUUUUAACCAUUUUUAAGUACAGUUCAGUGGCAUUAAGUACAUUCUCAUUGUUGUGCAGCCAUCACCACCAUCCAUGUCCAGAACUUUUUCAUCUUCCCAAAAUGAAACUAUGCCAUUAAACAUGAACUCCCCAUUGCCCUUUUACCCCAUCCCCUUCCACUUUCAGUCUCUAUAGAUUGAUCUUCUCUAGGUCCUGCAUAUAAAUAGAAUCACACACUAUUUGUCCUAUUGUGACUGGUUUAUUUCACUCAGCCAAAUGCCUCCAGAGUUCAUUCAUGCUGUAGCAGGGAGGCUGAAUAAUGUUCCAUCAUGUGUAUAUGUGACAUUUUGUUUGUCCAUUCAUCCAUGCAUGGAACUUGGGUUAAUUCUAAUUUUUGGCUUUUGUAAAUAAUGCUGUUAUGAACACUGGUAAGCGAGUAUUUUUCCAAGAUCCUACUU
Molecule: long non-coding RNA, 2605 nt
Organism: Canis lupus familiaris (dog)
Lineage: Eukaryota; Metazoa; Chordata; Mammalia; Carnivora; Canidae
Exons: 7
Source: RefSeq, a predicted model, not a curated record